AUGGUAGAACCAUGUUCCCCACUGGGGUUUCCCUCGGACACAAUUCAAAAUAGGGAUUGCCCAGUAUCAAACUGCGAGCCCCAGCUGUCACUGCACCGGCCUGCCCUCGAGGACCUGCUGCUGGGCUCCAAUGCCAACCUCACGUGCACACUGAGUGGCUUGAAAGACCCCAAGGGCGCAACCUUCACCUGGAAGCCGUCUGGUGGGAAGGACGCCAUCCAGGGGGAUGCUCAGCGUGACUCCUGCGGCUGCUUCAGCGUGUCCAGCAUCCUGCCAGGCUGCGCCGAGCCGUGGAACCGUGGGGAGACCUUCUCGUGCACUGUCACCCACCCUGAGCUUGAGAGCCCGAAAACCGCCACCAUCACCAAGGCUUCAGGGAGCGCAUUCCGGCCCCAGGUCCACCUGCUGCCGCCGCCGUCGGAGGAGGUGGCCCUCAACGAGCUGGUGACAUUGACAUGCUUGGUGCGGGGCUUCAGCCCUGAGGACGUGCUGGUACGAUGGCUGCACGGGACCCAGGAGCUGCCCCGAGACAAGUACCUGACCUGGGGCCCCCUGCCCGAGGCCAGCCAAAGUGUCACCACAUUUGCCGUGACCAGCGUGCUGCGUGUGGAGGCUGAGGACUGGAAGAAUGGGGACAACUUCUCCUGCAUGGUGGGCCACGAGACCCUGCCCCUGGCCUUCACCCAGAAGACCAUCGACCGCCUGGCGGGUAAACCCACCCACGUCAACGUGUCCGUGAUCUUGUCGGAGGUGGACGGCACCUGCUACUGACCGCCCCCACCUGCCCUCCCCGCCCUUGAAUAAACUGCAUGCUUGCCCAAAGCAGCCGCGCUCCCUCCAACGCCU
Non-coding RNA from Rhinolophus ferrumequinum (greater horseshoe bat), 846 nucleotides. The record is from the annotation of a RefSeq genome assembly. Lineage: Eukaryota; Metazoa; Chordata; Mammalia; Chiroptera; Rhinolophidae.